GACGAACGCUGGCGGCGUGCCUAAUACAUGCAAGUCGAGCGGACGAAUCGGAAGCUUGCUUUUGAAUCGUUAGCGGCGGACGGGUGAGUAACACGUGGGCAACCUGCCUUGUAGACGGGGAUAACACCGAGAAAUCGGUGCUAAUACCGGAUAACACGAAAUGUCGCAUGACGUUUCGUUGAAAGACGGCCCAGCCUGCCCCUACAGGUGGAUCCGCGCGGCAUUAGCUAGUUGGUGAGGUAACGGCUUACCAAGGCGACGAUGCCUAGCCGACCUGAGAGGGUGAUCGGCCACACUGGGACUGAGACACGGCCCAGACUCCUACGGGAGGCAGCAGUAGGGAAUCUUCCGCAAUGGACGAAAGUCUGACGGAGCAACGCCGCGUGAGCGAAGAAGGCCUUCGGGUCGUAAAGCUCUGUUGUUAGGGAAGAACAAGUAUCGUAGUAACUGACGUUACUAUGACGGUACCUAACGAGAAAGCCACGGCUAACUACGUG
RNAcentral lists this ribosomal RNA (497 nucleotides) under uncultured bacterium. RNAcentral's name for it is "partial 16S ribosomal RNA". It matches the Rfam family "Bacterial small subunit ribosomal RNA", at positions 28 to 507 of the family's 1533-position model. The record is from RNAcentral.